This 436-nucleotide ribosomal RNA is filed under the name uncultured Pseudomonas sp. HD-2000/5. RNAcentral's name for it is "bacterial SSU rRNA". It matches the Rfam family "Bacterial small subunit ribosomal RNA", at positions 31 to 466 of the family's 1533-position model. The record is from RNAcentral. Lineage: Bacteria; Pseudomonadati; Pseudomonadota; Gammaproteobacteria; Pseudomonadales; Pseudomonadaceae.
ACAGACCGCUGGCGGCAGGCCUAACACAUGCAAGUCGAGCGGAUGAAGAGAGCUUGCUCUCUGAUUCAGCGGCGGACGGGUGAGUAAUGCCUAGGAAUCUGCCUGAUAGUGGGGGACAACGUUUCGAAAGGAACGCUAAUACCGCAUACGUCCUACGGGAGAAAGCAGGGGACCUUCGGGCCUUGCGCUAUCAGAUGAGCCUAGGUCGGAUUAGCUAGUUGGUGAGGUAACGGCUCACCAAGGCUACGAUCCGUAACUGGUCUGAGAGGAUGAUCAGUCACACUGGAACUGAGACACGGUCCAGACUCCUACGGGAGGCAGCAGUGGGGAAUAUUGGACAAUGGGCGAAAGCCUGAUCCANCCAUGCCGCGUGUGUGAAGAAGGUCUUCGGAUUGUAAAGCACUUUAAGUUGGGAGGAAGGGCAUUAACCUAAUAC